Molecule: ribosomal RNA, 298 nt
Filed under: Spirometra erinaceieuropaei
Lineage: Eukaryota; Metazoa; Platyhelminthes; Cestoda; Diphyllobothriidea; Diphyllobothriidae
Description: partial 28S ribosomal RNA
Rfam family: Eukaryotic large subunit ribosomal RNA
Source: RNAcentral
GAUUACCCCGCGAACUUAAGCAUAUCACUAAGCGGAGGAAAAGAAACUAACCAGGAUUCCCCUAGUAACGGCGAGUGAAGAGGGAAUAGCCCAGCACCGAAGCCUGCGGUAGGUUUACUGCUAGGCAAUGUGGUGUUUGGGUCGACUCGCGGGAUUGCCACUCCACUCGAAGUCCAGCACUGAGUAUGGUUCCCUGGAUUUGGCCCAGAGAGGGUGAAAGGCCCGUGCGAGUGGAGGUUCAGACAUGUGAGGCAAUUCACCAGGUCGACCUUCGAGUCGGGGUGUUUGGGAAUGCAGC